CACGUAUUUAGCCGGGGCUUCUUAGUCAGGUACCGUCAUUUUCUUCCCUGCUGAUAGGGCUUUACAUGCCGAAGCACUCCAUCGCCCACGCGGCGUCGCUGCAUCAGGGUUCCCCCCAUUGUGCAAUAUCCCCCACCUGCUGCCUCCCGUAGGAGUCUGGGCCGUGUCUCAGUCCCAAUGUGGCCGCCCACCCUCUCAGGCCGGCUACUGAUCGUCGCCUUGGUGGGCCGUUGCCCCGCCAACCAGCUAAUCAGACGCGGGCCCAUCCUGCACCGCCGGAGCUUCCCCCGCCGCCCCAUGCGGGGCUGCGGGCAUAUGCGGUAUUAGCAGCCGUUUCCGGCUGUUGUCCCCCAGUGCAGGGCAGGUUGCCCACGCGUUACUCACCCGUCCGCCACUGGGCAGCGCCGGCUUCCGCUCCGAAAAGCCUCAGCCUGCGCGCCCCGUUCGACUUGCAUGUGUUAGGCACGCCGCCAGCGUUCAUCCUGAGCCAGGAUCAAA
Molecule: ribosomal RNA, 498 nt
Filed under: uncultured Eubacteriales bacterium
Lineage: Bacteria; Bacillati; Bacillota; Clostridia; Eubacteriales
Description: uncultured Clostridiales bacterium partial 16S ribosomal RNA
Source: RNAcentral